UUUAAUUAUUUUUAGUAUUUUUCUUAUUUAAAAGGAUUACUUAUGUGUAUUUUUUUUAAGGCAGGGUUUUAUUUUGAUUUAUUUUUGUUUUAGUUUAUUUCUAUCAGAUGGCGUGCCAGCAGUUGCGGUUAUACGAUUAGAUUCUUAAGGUUUUUAAAAAGGAUAGUUUAUUUUAUUUAUAAUUUUAAAUAAAGGUGAAAUUUUUUUUGAUUUCUUUUUAUUUUGCUUUUUCUUUUAAGUUUUUUUAAAACGGGGAUUAGAUACCCUCUUAUUUUUUCUAGGGGUAUUAAAAGAUUUUCUUUAAACCCAAAGUUUUUGGCGGUUCAAUUACUUUUCAGAGGGGCUUGCUUUUUAAUCGAUAAUCCUCGUUUAAUUUUUCUUUAUUUUUUAAUUCGUAUAUCUCUGUUUUGAUGAUUUUUUGUUAUUUUAUCUUUUUAAUUUUUUUAUUUAAUUCAAGUCAAGGUGCGAUUUAUAAUUUAGAUUGAGUUAGCCACUUUUGAGAUGUUUUUUAAUUUUAUUUUUCUUUUGGAUUUGUUUGUAAUUUUAAAAUAUAAUUUUAUUUUGAUUUAGUUAUGUUGAAUGUUCAUAUCGCCCGUCACUCUAAAAUUUAGAUAAGUCGUAACAAAGUAGAAUUACCGGAAGGUGUUUCUUGUUUA
Molecule: ribosomal RNA, 656 nt
Filed under: Lebertia trifurcilla
Lineage: Eukaryota; Metazoa; Arthropoda; Arachnida; Trombidiformes; Lebertiidae
Description: 12S ribosomal RNA
Source: RNAcentral